AUAAUUACAACUUUCAACAACGGAUCUCUUGGUUCUGGCAUCGAUGAAGAACGCAGCGAAAUGCGAUAAGUAGUGUGAAUUGCAGAAUUCAGUGAAUCAUCGAAUCUUUGAACGCACAUUGCGCCCUUUGGUAUUCCAAAGGGCAUGCCUGUUCGAGCG
RNAcentral lists this ribosomal RNA (159 nucleotides) under Alternaria sp. RNAcentral's name for it is "5.8S ribosomal RNA". It matches the Rfam family "5.8S ribosomal RNA". Rfam says of the family: 5.8S ribosomal RNA (5.8S rRNA) is a component of the large subunit of the eukaryotic ribosome. It is transcribed by RNA polymerase I as part of the 45S precursor that also contains 18S and 28S rRNA. The record is from RNAcentral. Lineage: Eukaryota; Fungi; Ascomycota; Dothideomycetes; Pleosporales; Pleosporaceae.